UGAGGAAUAUUGGACAAUGGGCGCAAGCCUGAUCCAGCCAUGCCGCGUGCAGGAAGAAGCAUCUAUGGUGUGUAAACUGCUUUUGUACGGGAAGAAACACUCCUUCGUGAAGGAGCUUGACGGUACCGUAAGAAUAAGGAUCGGCUAACUCCGUUCCAGCAGCCGCGGUAAUACGGAGGAUCCAAGCGUUAUCCGGAAUCAUUGGGUUUAAAGGGUCCGUAGGCGGUUUAGUAAGUCAGUGGUGAAAGCCCAUCGCUCAACGAUGGAACGGCCAUUGAUACUGGUAGACGUGAACAAUUAGGAAGUAACUAGAAUAUGUAGUGUAGCGGUGAAAUGCUUAGAUAUUACAUAGAAUACCGAUUGCGAAGGCAGGUUACUAGUAAUGGAUUGACACUGAGGGACGAAAGCGUGGGGAGCGAACA
RNAcentral lists this ribosomal RNA (422 nucleotides) under uncultured bacterium. RNAcentral describes it as "bacterial SSU rRNA". It matches the Rfam family "Bacterial small subunit ribosomal RNA", at positions 355 to 774 of the family's 1533-position model. The record is from RNAcentral.